RNAcentral lists this ribosomal RNA (465 nucleotides) under Williamsia muralis. RNAcentral's name for it is "bacterial SSU rRNA". It matches the Rfam family "Bacterial small subunit ribosomal RNA", at positions 907 to 1372 of the family's 1533-position model. The record is from RNAcentral. Lineage: Bacteria; Bacillati; Actinomycetota; Actinomycetes; Mycobacteriales; Nocardiaceae.
GAAUUGACGGGGGCCCGCACAAGCGGCGGAGCAUGUGGAUUAAUUCGAUGCAACGCGAAGAACCUUACCUGGGUUUGACAUACACCAGAAAGCCAUAGAGAUAUGGCCCCCCUUGUGGUUGGUGUACAGGUGGUGCAUGGCUGUCGUCAGCUCGUGUCGUGAGAUGUUGGGUUAAGUCCCGCAACGAGCGCAACCCUUGUCCUGUGUUGCCAGCACGUAAUGGUGGGGACUCGCAGGAGACUGCCGGGGUCAACUCGGAGGAAGGUGGGGAUGACGUCAAGUCAUCAUGCCCCUUAUGUCCAGGGCUUCACACAUGCUACAAUGGCCGGUACAGAGGGCUGCGAUACCGUGAGGUGGAGCGAAUCCCUUAAAGCCGGUCUCAGUUCGGAUCGGGGUCUGCAACUCGACCCCGUGAAGUCGGAGUCGCUAGUAAUCGCAGAUCAGCAACGCUGCGGUGAAUACGUU